CUGGGUUCAGUCUGCAGGUGGCUGCUAUUGGGCAGUUACUCAGGCUUUUAGUAACAGCCCUCUGGUUUGGUGUGGCGCUGUCACGCGGUUCUCAGGUCCGUGAGCUUCCACAGCUUCCCUCUGGUUCCUGGGUCGGGUUUAGGCCCUGCCUUUCCUGUGUGGAGCACUGAGAGAUGAAGAUGCUAUCAGGUGGAGGUCUUCCAAACUGCAGGAAGAAAUGAGAGAAAAGGAACGAUUAUACAGCAUCAGUCAGCAUCAGAAACUUUCUAAAUCGAAGAAAACAGUCAGCCUCAUGUAUAUCUGCUGCAUCUGAGGGUUGUAUCUCAACAAGGAGAGAAGAAAAACACAUUUUCCUCUUGUAAAAUUCACCCUGGACACUGGGUGCAUGUACAACCCCAUGGCUUCAAUCAUGUGAUCCUACCAACCUUGUCUCCCUCUUGCCCAACACCAUAAAUGCUUUUUUUUUCCCCCUUCCUUUGAGAGGCUAGUCUGGGACUUAAAUCACUCUUUCUACCUUAAAAGCCUGUGCUCACUCCACAGAUGAUACUCCCUUACCCUCCCAGACCCUCGGUUUCCAUAUCUAUCGUAUGAGAAAGAGGCUGUUAUUAUGAAACACACCACUAUGCAAACAAGGGAGAAAAUAUUAAUCAUUAAAGACAAGAUAUAUACCUUCACUACCAUCUCAGUGAUAAACAACAGUCAUCCUACGACUGUUUCUUUUGACUGUCAUAUAAAAUACACAAAUCUACAACCGAACAAAUAUUUCAGUAUUAAUCACUAAAUGUGGUCCUACUUGAAAUUCUGAACUGUAUGCUAUUUGUAAGUAGUUACGUUCUAAAAGGUGUCUUCUCUUAGUGCAGGAGACUGCACUUCUGUGGUCAAGAAAUGAAGGCCAAACUACUGCACAGCCCAGUUGCUGCAGCUUUUCGUCACUGUUUUCUCAAGAAAUACUGGUCUUAGUAAAUCUGUCACCCUGUGCUACUGAUGACUUGUGCUCAAGGAUCAGAAUUCUCUGGGUCUGAUGCAUUCUGGAUGUUUUGGCCAGAACUUUUUCGCCAAAAUAUGCUUCACCUCAAUAACAAAUUCUAUGGGGAAGCUCCUGAGUUCCUCAAUCCCCUAAACAUUUCCUUUUGACCAUGUGGUCCUGUAUGAGUUCAUAAUGUUUUGGGAUCAACUUUCCAAGAAUCUUGACAUUUUUAAAAGCUAUGAACCAAA
This is a long non-coding RNA of Bubalus bubalis (water buffalo), 1215 nucleotides long. RefSeq lists it as uncharacterized. The transcript is spliced from 3 exons. Lineage: Eukaryota; Metazoa; Chordata; Mammalia; Artiodactyla; Bovidae. The record is from RefSeq and is a predicted model, not a curated record.